CCCAGACUCCUACGGGAGGCAGCAGUGGGGAAUAUUGCACAAUGGGGGAAACCCUGAUGCAGCGACGCCGCGUGAGUGAAGAAGUAUUUCGGUAUGUAAAGCUCUCUCAGCAGGGAAGAUAAUGACGGUACCUGACUAAGAAGCCCCGGCUAACUACGUGCCAGCAGCCGCGGUAAUACGUAGGGGGCAAGCGUUAUCCGGAUUUACUGGGUGUAAAGGGUGCGCAGGUGGCAGGGCAAGUCAGAUGUGAAAGCCCGGGGCUCAACCCCGGUAUUGCAUUUGAAACUGUCCGGCUAGAGUGCAGGAGAGGUAAGCGGAAUUCCUAGUGUAGCGGUGAAAUGCGUAGAUAUUAGGAGGAACACCAGUGGCGAAGGCGGCUUACUGGACUGUAACUGACGCUGAGGCACGAAAGCGUGGGGAGCAAACAGGAUUAGAUACCCCCGUAC
This 446-nucleotide ribosomal RNA is filed under the name uncultured bacterium. RNAcentral's name for it is "bacterial SSU rRNA". It matches the Rfam family "Bacterial small subunit ribosomal RNA", at positions 330 to 793 of the family's 1533-position model. The record is from RNAcentral.